This 27-nucleotide ribosomal RNA is filed under the name Bartalinia pondoensis. RNAcentral describes it as "partial 28S ribosomal RNA". Lineage: Eukaryota; Fungi; Ascomycota; Sordariomycetes; Amphisphaeriales; Sporocadaceae. The record is from RNAcentral.
UAAGCAUAUCAAUAAGGCCGGAGGAAG